RNAcentral lists this transfer RNA (72 nucleotides) under Fukomys damarensis (Damara mole-rat). It matches the Rfam family "tRNA". From Rfam's summary of the family: Transfer RNA (tRNA) molecules are approximately 80 nucleotides in length. Their secondary structure includes four short double-helical elements and three loops (D, anti-codon, and T loops). Further hydrogen bonds mediate the characteristic L-shaped molecular structure. tRNAs have two regions of fundamental functional importance: the anti-codon, which is responsible for specific mRNA codon recognition, and the 3' end, to which the tRNAs corresponding amino acid is attached (by aminoacyl-tRNA synthetases). tRNAs cope with the degeneracy of the genetic code in two manners: having more than one tRNA (with a specific anti-codon) for a particular amino acid; and 'wobble' base-pairing, i.e. permitting non-standard base-pairing at the 3rd anti-codon position. The record is from Rfam by way of RNAcentral. Lineage: Eukaryota; Metazoa; Chordata; Mammalia; Rodentia; Bathyergidae.
GAGGGAGUGGUUCAGUGGCAGAGCAUGGGCUCAGCACGCCCAAGGCCCUGGGUUCAAUUCCCAGCACUUUCC